This 349-nucleotide ribosomal RNA is filed under the name uncultured bacterium. Its description in RNAcentral is "bacterial SSU rRNA". It matches the Rfam family "Bacterial small subunit ribosomal RNA", at positions 335 to 677 of the family's 1533-position model. The record is from RNAcentral.
ACUCCUACGGGAGGCAGCAGUGGGGAAUAUUGCACAAUGGGCGCAAGCCUGAUGCAGCCAUGCCGCGUGUAUGAAGAAGGCCUUCGGGUUGUAAAGUACUUUCAGCAGUGAGGAAGGUGGGUAUGUUAAUAGCAUAUUCAUUUGACGUUAGCUGCAGAAGAAGCACCGGCUAACUCCGUGCCAGCAGCCGCGGUAAUACGGAGGGUGCGAGCGUUAAUCGGAAUUACUGGGCGUAAAGCGCAUGUAGGUGGUUUGUUAAGUCAGAUGUGAAAGCCCGGGGCUCAACCUCGGAAUUGCAUUUGAAACUGGCAAACUAGAGUACUGUAGAGGGGGUAGAAUUUCAGGUGUA